Molecule: ribosomal RNA, 317 nt
Filed under: uncultured Pseudomonadota bacterium
Lineage: Bacteria; Pseudomonadati; Pseudomonadota
Description: bacterial SSU rRNA
Rfam family: Bacterial small subunit ribosomal RNA
Source: RNAcentral
AUUGAACGCUGGCGGCAUGCUUUACACAUGCAAGUCGAACGCGAAAGGGGGCAACCCUGAGUAGAGUGGCGAACGGGUGAGUAAUGCAUCGGAACGUGUCCUGUAGCGGGGGACAACCCCGAGAAAUCGGGGCUAAUACCGCAUACGUCCUACGGGAGAAAGUGGGGUCGCAAGACCCUCACACUAUAGGGGCGGCCGAUGCCGGAUUAGCUAGUUGGUGGGGUAAAAGCUCACCAAGGCGACGAUCCGUAGCUGGUCUGAGAGGAUGAUCAGCCACACUGGGACUGAGACACGGCCCAGACUCCUACGGGAGGCUG